Molecule: ribosomal RNA, 642 nt
Filed under: uncultured Actinomycetes bacterium
Lineage: Bacteria; Bacillati; Actinomycetota; Actinomycetes
Description: bacterial SSU rRNA
Rfam family: Bacterial small subunit ribosomal RNA
Source: RNAcentral
CGCGGCCUAUCAGCUUGUUGGUGAGGUAAUGGCUCACCAAGGCGACGACGGGUAGCCGGCCUGAGAGGGCGACCGGCCACACUGGGACUGAGACACGGCCCAGACUCCUACGGGAGGCAGCAGUGGGGAAUAUUGGGCAAUGGAGGAAACUCUGACCCAGCGACGCCGCGUGCGGGAUGAAGGCCUUCGGGUUGUAAACCGCUUUCAGCAGGGAAGAAGCGAAAGUGACGGUACCUGCAGAAGAAGCACCGGCUAACUAUGUGCCAGCAGCCGCGGUAAUACAUAGGGUGCAAGCGUUGUCCGGAAUUAUUGGGCGUAAAGAGCUCGUAGGUGGGUCGUCACGUCGGAUGUGAAACUCUGGGGCUUAACCCCAGACCUGCAUUCGAUACGGGCGAGCUUGAGUAUGGUAGGGGAGUCUGGAAUUCCUGGUGUAGCGGUGGAAUGCGCAGAUAUCAGGAGGAACACCAAUGGCGAAGGCAGGACUCUGGGCCAUUACUGACACUGAGGAGCGAAAGCGUGGGGAGCGAACAGGAUUAGAUACCCUGGUAGUCCACGCCGUAAACGGUGGGCACUAGUUGUGGGGACCUUCCACGGUCUCUGCGACGCAGCUAACGCAUUAAGUGCCCCGCCUGGGGAGUACGG